UUGGGGUUGCGGACAUAUCAUAACGAAGAGGUAUCGUAAUUGAAGAGGUUUGGAAAGACCCACCACAGAAGGUAAUAGUCCUGUAUGUUAAACGAGAAGACUUUAGAUAUGAUCCAGAGUACCACGGGACACGUGAAACCCUGUGGGAAGCAGGAGGGACCACCCUCCAAGGCUAAAUACUACCUAGUGACCGAUAGCGUAUAGUACCGUGAGGGAAAGGUGAAAAGAACCCCGGGAGGGGAGUGAAAUAGAACCUGAAACCCUGCACUUACAAGCUGUGGAAGCACAUUUCUUGUGUGACCGCGUACUUUUUGUAGAACGGGCCAACGAGUUACGUUAAGUAGCAAGGUUAAGCACUUAAGGUGCGGAGCCGUAGCGAAAGCGAGUUUUAACUGAGCGUUCAGUUACUUGACGUAGACCCGAAACCGGGCGACCUACCCAUGAGCAGGAUGAAGCGAAAGUAAAAUUUCGUGGAGGUCCGAACCCACGAGCGUUGAAAAGCUCGGGGAUGACUUGUGGGUAGCGGUGAAAUUCCAAUCGAGCCCGGAGAUAGCUGGUUCUCCCCGAAAUAGCUUUAGGGCUAGCCUCAAGGUGAGAGAUACGGAGGUAGAGCACUGAAUGUCCUAGGGGGUAUUGCACCUACCGAAGACUAUCAAACUCCGAAUGCCGUCAUCUUAUACUUGGGAGUCAGACUGUGGGUGAUAAGAUUCAUAGUCGAAAGGGCAACAGCCCAGAUCGUCAGCUAAGGUCCCUAAAUGUAAGUUAAGUGGUAAAGGAUGUGGGAUUGCACAGACAACCAGGAUGUUGGCUUAGAAGCAGCCACUCAUUCAAAGAGUGCGUAAUAGCUCACUGGUCGAGUGAUCCUGCGCCGAAGAUUUCCGGGGCUAAAACUUACUACCGAAGCUACGGCAUCAGUAAUGAUGGGUAGGGGAGCUUCCCAUACGGGUUGAAGCAUGACCGUAAGGACAUGUGGACAGUAUGGGAGUGAGAAUGUUGGCAUGAGUAGCGAGAUGUGGGUGAGAAUCCCACAGGCCGUAAACCCAAGGUUUCCAGGGGAAGGUUCGUCCGCCCUGGGUUAGUCGGGACCUAAGCUGAGGCCGAAAGGCGUAGGUGAUGGACAACAGGUUGAUAUUCCUGUACUACCGAUAACCGUUUGAGAGAAGGGAUGACACAGUAGGAUAAGCUAAGCACACUGUUGGUUAUGUGUGCCCAAGCAUUGAGGCAGUCAAAGUAGGCAAAUCCGCUUUGAUAAUGCUGGGAUGUGAUGGGGAGCGAAAUUUAGUAGCGAAGUAGCUGAUUUCACACUGUCAAGAAAAGUCUCUAUCGAGGUUAAAGGUACCCGUACCGCAAACCGACACAGGUGGGUGAGGAGAGUAUCCUAAGGCCAGCGAGAGAACUGUUGUUAAGGAACUCGGCAAAAUGACCCCGUAACUUAGGGAUAAGGGGUGCCACCAUCAGGUGGCCGCAGAGAAUAGGCCCAAGCGACUGUUUACCAAAAACAUAGGUUUCUGCUAAGUCGCAAGACGAUGUAUAGGAGCUGACGCCUGCCCGGUGCUGGAAGGUUAAGGGGAUCUGUUAGAGCAAUCGAAGCAGUGAACUUAAGCCCCAGUAAACGGCGGCCGUAACUAUAACGGUCCUAAGGUAGCGAAAUUCCUUGUCGGGUAAGUUCCGACCCGCACGAAAGGCGUAACGAUUUGGGCACUGUCUCAACAACAGACUCGGUGAAAUUGUAAUUCCGGUGAAGAUGCCGGAUACCUGCGACAGGACGGAAAGACCCCAUGGAGCUUUACUGUAGCUUGACAUUGGGUCUUGGUACUACAUGUACAGGAUAGGUGGGAGGCUUUGAAACCAGGACGCCAGUUUUGGCGGAGCCAUCCUUGGGAUACCACCCUUGUAGUACUGGGACUCUAACCAUAGGCCAUGAAUCUGGUCUUGGGACACUGUCAGGUGGGCAGUUUGACUGGGGCGGUCGCCUCCCAAAAGGUAACGGAGGCGCUCAAAGGUUCUCUCAGUACGGUCGGAAAUCGUACGUAGAGUGUAAAGGCAAAAGAGAGCUUGAUUGCAAGACAUACAGGUCGAGCAAGGAUGAAAAUCGGACUUAGUGAUCCGGUGGUUCUGCGUGGAAGGGCCAUCGCUCAACGGAUAAAAGCUACCCUGGGGAUAACAGGCUUAUCUCCCCCAAGAGUCCACAUCGACGGGGAGGUUUGGCACCUCGAUGUCGGCUCAUCACAUCCUGGGGCUGUAGUAGGUCCCAAGGGUUGGGCUGUUCGCCCAUUAAAGUGGUACGCGAGCUGGGUUCAGAACGUCGUGAGACAGUUCGGUCCCUAUCCGUCGCAGGCGUAGGAAAUUUGAGAAGACCUGUCCUUAGUACGAGAGGACCGGGAUGGACGUACCUCUGGUGUACCAGUUGUCCUGCCAAGGGCAUGGCUGGGUAGCUAUGUACGGAAUGGAUAAGCGCUGAAAGCAUCUAAGCGCGAAGCCAACUUCAAGAUAAGAUUUCCCACCGCAAGGGUAAGACCCCAGAAAGACUAUCUGGUUGAUAGGUCGAAGGUGUAAGUGCAGCAAUGUAUUUAGCUUAUCGAUACUAAUAGGUCGAGGACUUGACC
Molecule: ribosomal RNA, 2606 nt
Filed under: Clostridioides difficile
Lineage: Bacteria; Bacillati; Bacillota; Clostridia; Peptostreptococcales; Peptostreptococcaceae
Description: bacterial LSU rRNA
Rfam family: Bacterial large subunit ribosomal RNA
Source: RNAcentral